CCCAGGCCUAAUUCCAUUUCUUGGGAUCGUCCAUUCUCUGACUCACGACAGGGUAUAGGAGGCCUAACCAAUUAUGAGCACAAAGGAGAGAUUAAGUGAACCAGUAAGUGUUUAGUCCAAGUGGGCCUGGAUUCAGUUUGCCAAUCCUACCACAUGGGGACGAUAGGAAGCAAGAGGGGUAGUUACAAUAUGCCUUUCUAAUACGCAAUGACUGCCAACGGUAGCCCAGACAGUAUUCCAGAAGUUGACAAAACAUAGACGCUCCUCCUUGGGAUUGAAAUGUAUGGGGGUGGGGGGAAGAGCGAGAAGGGAGAGUGAAAGAAGAGGAUAGAGAUUUUCUUUCUACUUCAAAAUACAUCUUUCCAGUCACUUUGGUCCCCUGGUUUGUGAUGCAGAGUCCUUCAUUCAGUUUCCAGUGCAACCCUUUCUGAUGAAUUCACCCCAGAGUCACUUUUACUAUCAUGGGAUCCAUCAUAUUAAAACGGCACUUAGGAGCUGGGUGAGGCAGUGAGGAGGACAAUGGAAAGACUGAGCAGCAAGAAGAGAGGAGGGUGAGGUGGGAACCCACAUGGCUGAGUGGAAAAAGUUAACUGAACUGCCUUGGAAAUAGGCUCCACAUAUUUUUGGAUCAAGCCUUAGUGUUCUAUCUCGUGUGUUUGACAGAGCGGAUUAUGUUUUAACUUUUCUUCCUCUACCUGACAAAGUUAUUUUGAGGAAUAAUCAUGAAAUGAAACAAAUAAUUAAUGGCCAGGAAACUUUAAGUAGUGAACAUUUUCUUUCACUAACCCUUAUAUGGUCAUGUCAGUAAAAAUAAAUAAAUGAAAAUAAACAUGCCAUUUCAGAUUA
Long non-coding RNA from Homo sapiens (human), 846 nucleotides. RefSeq lists it as uncharacterized. The transcript has 2 exons. Lineage: Eukaryota; Metazoa; Chordata; Mammalia; Primates; Hominidae. The record is from RefSeq and is a predicted model, not a curated record.